Molecule: transfer RNA, 84 nt
Filed under: Pseudomonadota bacterium
Lineage: Bacteria; Pseudomonadati; Pseudomonadota
Also listed under: 1 other name
Description: tRNA-Leu
Rfam family: tRNA
About the family: Transfer RNA (tRNA) molecules are approximately 80 nucleotides in length. Their secondary structure includes four short double-helical elements and three loops (D, anti-codon, and T loops).
Source: RNAcentral
GCCGAGGUGGCGGAACUGGCAGACGCGCUACGUUCAGGGCGUAGUGGGCGUAAGCUCAUCGGGGUUCAACUCCCCGCCUCGGCA